GUACCGUAAACCGACACUGGUAGGCAGGGUGAGAAUCCCAAGGCGCUUGAGAGAACUCGGGUGAAGGAACUAGGCAAAAUGGCACCGUAACUUCGGGAGAAGGUGCGCCCUUUGACGUGGUCACAUGCGUGACUGAGCGUUGAAGGGUCGCAGUAACCUGGCCGCUGCGACUGUUUAUCAAAAACACAGCACUCUGCAAACACGAAAGUGGACGUAUAGGGUGUGACGCCUGCCCGGUGCUGGAAGGUUAAUUGAUGGGGUCAGCCGCAAGGCGAAGCUCUUGAUCGAAGCCCCAGUAAACGGCGGCCGUAACGAUAACGGUCCUAAGGUAGCGAAAUUCCUUGUCGGGUAAGUUCCGACCUGCACGAAUGGCGUAACGACAGCGGCGCUGUCUCCACCCGAGACUCAGUGAAAUUGAAUUCGCUGUGAAGAUGCAGCGUUCCCGCGGCAAGACGGAAAGACCCCGUGAACCUUUACUAUAGCUUUACACUGAACGUUGAGUUCUUCUGUGUAGGAUAGGUGGGAGGCUUUGAAGCGCAGACGCCAGUUUGCGUGGACCCAACCUUGAAAUACCACCCUGAAGUGCUUGACGUUCUAACCUCGGCCCGUAAUCCGGGUCAGGGACCGUGUAUGGUGGGUAGUUUGACUGGGGCGGUCUCCUCCCAAAGAGUAACGGAGGAGCACGAAGGUACGCUCAGCGCGGUCGGACAUCGCGCACUGUGUGCAAUGGCAUAAGCGUGCUUGACUGCGAGAUCGACGGAUCAAGCAGGUACGAAAGUAGGUCAUAGUGAUCCGGUGGUUCUGUAUGGAAGGGCCAUCGCUCAACGGAUAAAAGGUACUCCGGGGAUAACAGGCUGAUACCGCCCAAGAGUUCAUAUCGACGGCGGUGUUUGGCACCUCGAUGUCGGCUCAUCACAUCCUGGGGCUGUAGCCGGUCCCAAGGGUAUGGCGGUUCGCCAUUUAAAGUGGUACGCGAGCUGGGUUCAGAACGUCGUGAGACAGUUCGGUCCCUAUCUGUCGUGGGCGUUGGAGAUUUGAGGGGGGCUGCUCCUAGUACGAGAGGACCGGAGUGGACGUUCCGCUGGUGUUCGGGUUGUCAUGCCCAUGGCAUUGCCCGGUAGCUAUGAACGGAAGUGAUAACCGCUGAAAGCAUCUAAGCGGGAAGCACGCCCCAAGAUGAGAUCUCCCGAGAGCUUGACUCUCCUAAAGGCACCAUCAAGACCAGGUGGUUGAUAGGUCAGGUGUGGAAGCGCAGCAAUGCGUUGAGCUAACUGAUACUAAUGAGCCGUGCGGCUUGACCAA
RNAcentral lists this ribosomal RNA (1302 nucleotides) under metagenome. RNAcentral's name for it is "bacterial LSU rRNA". It matches the Rfam family "Bacterial large subunit ribosomal RNA", at positions 1644 to 2925 of the family's 2925-position model. The record is from RNAcentral.